RNAcentral lists this transfer RNA (57 nucleotides) under Camelus ferus (Wild Bactrian camel). It matches the Rfam family "tRNA", at positions 8 to 63 of the family's 71-position model. Rfam says of the family: Transfer RNA (tRNA) molecules are approximately 80 nucleotides in length. Their secondary structure includes four short double-helical elements and three loops (D, anti-codon, and T loops). Lineage: Eukaryota; Metazoa; Chordata; Mammalia; Artiodactyla; Camelidae. The record is from Rfam by way of RNAcentral.
UAGCUCAGUGGUAGAGCGCAUGACUAGUAUGCAUGAGGUCCUGGGUUCGAUUCUCCG